GUGGGGAAUCUUGCGCAAUGGGCGAAAGCCUGACGCAGCCAUGCCGCGUGAAUGAUGAAGGUCUUAGGAUUGUAAAAUUCUUUCACCGGGGACGAUAAUGACGGUACCCGGAGAAGAAGCUCCGGCUAACUUCGUGCCAGCAGCCGCGGUAAUACGAAGGGGGCUAGCGUUGCCCGGAAUUACUGGGCGUAAAGGGCGCGUAGGCGGACAGCUUAGUCAGAGGUGAAAGCCCAGGGCUCAACCUUGGAAUUGCCUUUGAUACUGGCUGUCUUGAGUUUGGGAGAGGUGAGUGGAACUCCGAGUGUAGAGGUGAAAUUCGUAGAUAUUCGGAAGAACACCAGUGGCGAAGGCGACUCACUGGCCCAAUACUGACGCUGAGGCGCGAAAGCGUGGGGAGCAAACAGGAUUAGAAACCCGGGUAGUCC
Molecule: ribosomal RNA, 425 nt
Filed under: uncultured bacterium
Lineage: Bacteria
Description: partial 16S ribosomal RNA
Rfam family: Bacterial small subunit ribosomal RNA
Source: RNAcentral